UUUGUUGAACAGAAAUCACAAAGCUCUAUGAAUUUACCAUAUUCAUUUUCUUCUUGUUAUCAAAUUUCUAAAUCGUUCUCAAUUUGGUGAUCCAUUGCCUUUUCUACUUCCUUUCGCAAUCAAAAUUCAACCCGGCAACAGCAAAAAGCUGACCUUGAAGUUUCCCAUUUUUUUAGUUUCAAACUUUUCCUUCUUCCUCCAUUAAUGCAUUUUCUUUAGUUGGGAUUUAGAAUAAAACAAAGGUUUCCUGCUGUUUUGGUCAAAGAUUCAAUACAGAUCCCAGAACGUGGGACUUCUUUAAGUCCAAUCGUGGAACCAUUAUCAGACUUCUUUUACAGCUCUUUUCUAUCCAAGUUGAGUAGCCAACAAUCAAAUAUUAUUUUCAUAUUAAUAUUUGGAUUUCUAACGGGUCAAAGAUUCAUUUCUUCCGCUGAAAAUGUUCCAGUAAAAGCUGCUUUUUUCUCCUCUUUGCCCAUUCUAUUCACUUAUAAUAAUCUGGCACUUUCUUUGCUAAUUUUUCUGCCAUGGGUUUUCUGUCAUCAACUUGUUAUUCUAACUGUAAUAUCGCAAAUGAAGUCAUCUUGGUCAAAGUUUUUGGAUGCAUAUCAUAUUCAAGAGACAUAAAGUGUCUAAUUACGUGGUUAUAAUAUUCACUCCAAGUACCUUUCUGAAACUUUUCCCUCAAUUUGGGCAGUUUUUUACCUUUAAUACGGCAAAUGGGCCCUCAACUUUGAUCAGCAAUGGCAGAGUGCUGUGCUCUGUCGUCUUCAUCUCUUCACCAAAAGUUGCAUAAUAUGACAAGCGCGCACUUGGAUAUCUGAUGUUUCAUCAAGCGGCUAGACAUUAUUCCAGUGACCAGCGUUUUUCUCAGAACAUGCGGAGACGCUCGCCGAUAGACAUAGUCUUGGCCGGCGCCUUUGUUGUGUUGUAAUUACCAAGUCUAAGUCCAAGUGCAGGACAGUCCCAAUCCAAGUCCCAACCUGCUCAACAAGUCCCUAUACUAUUCGAGCAAUGUUAUGUGUAUAUUGGGUAUAACUUUAUUAUUAAUUUAAAAUCAUCUAAUCACAUAAUAAUAUAUUAUUUUUAUAUUUAUCUGUAUAUUAAAAAAAUAUGAAGAAAUUGUUUUAUUGAUCUGAUUCACUCUACCAUUUGUUUUCAUAUUGAGCAUGUGGAGACGCAGACAGGUAUUUACUUAUUGCAUGUUUAAAUUGACUAUGUAAUUUCUCGAUUUUCAUAGUCUCUGACGGUGGCCUUGUUGUCUUUGUAAUUGCCAAGUCCAAGUCUGGACCCGUCCAACAAGUCUGAGUGUAGAACAUGCGAUGCAACUCACUCCACCAAUUGUUUUCAACUUGAAGCUCACUCUUUGGAAAAAUCUGUAAGCAAAAUCAAACACGCAAAAGCAUAUACGCUUCUGAAUAGUCAUUUAGUCCAAAGGGUAGCCGUCGGUCAUACGCCCAUAAAUAUGAACUUAAAAGUCCUGAAAAUACACGGAAAUGUUGCAAUACUUUACCCCUUUUU
Mangifera indica (mango) is the source of this 1518-nucleotide long non-coding RNA. RefSeq lists it as uncharacterized. The transcript has 2 exons. The record is from RefSeq and is a predicted model, not a curated record. NCBI's taxonomy places the organism in Eukaryota, Viridiplantae, Streptophyta, Magnoliopsida, Sapindales, Anacardiaceae.